GGUUAAGCGACUAAGCGUACACGGUGGAUGCCCUGGCAGUCAGAGGCGAUGAAGGGCGUGCUAAUCUGCGAUAAGCGCCGGUAAGGUGAUAUGAACCGUUAUAACCGGCGAUACCCGAAUGGGGAAACCCAGUGUGAUUCGUCACACUAUCAUUAACUGAAUCCAUAGGUUAAUGAGGCGAACCGGGGGAACUGAAACAUCUAAGUACCCCGAGGAAAAGAAAUCAACCGAGAUUCCCCCAGUAGCGGCGAGCGAACGGGGAGGAGCCCAGAGCCUGAAUCAGCAUGUGUGUUAGUGGAAGCGUCUGGAAAGGCGCGCGAUACAGGGUGACAGCCCCGUACACAAAAGCGCAUGUGCUGUGAGCUCGAUGAGUAGGGCGGGACACGUGGUAUCCUGUCUGAAUAUGGGGGGACCAUCCUCCAAGGCUAAAUACUCCUGACUGACCGAUAGUGAACCAGUACCGUGAGGGAAAGGCGAAAAGAACCCCGGCGAGGGGAGUGAAAAAGAACCUGAAACCGUGUACGUACAAGCAGUGGGAGCCCCACCACUAAGCCAGUGGUGAACUCCACAUACGCAUCCUUUGCUGAGGAUACGGUUAACGGAGCGAAAGCGACGUUCAACCGCAAAAGAAGCAGAGGGGGCUUUAGUGGUGGGGUGACUGCGUACCUUUUGUAUAAUGGGUCAGCGACUUAUAUUCUGUAGCAAGGUUAACCGUAUAGGGGAGCCGGAGGGAAACCGAGUCUUAACCGGGCGUUAAGUUGCAGGGUAUAGACCCGAAACCCGGUGAUCUAGCCAUGGGCAGGUUGAAGGUUGGGUAACACUAACUGGAGGACCGAACCGACUAAUGUUGAAAAAUUAGCGGAUGACCUGUGGCUGGGGGUGAAAGGCCAAUCAAACCGGGAGAUAGCUGGUUCUCCCCGAAAGCUAUUUAGGUAGCGCCUCGUGAAUUCAUCUCCGGGGGUAGAGCACUGUUUCGGCUAGGGGGCCAUCCCGGCUUACCAACCCGAUGCAAACUGCGAAUACCGGAGAAUGUUAUCACGGGAGACACACGGCGGGUGCUAACGUCCGUCGUGAAGAGGGAAACAACCCAGACCGCCAGCUAAGGUCCCAAAGUCAUGGUUAAGUGGGAAACGAUGUGGGAAGGCCCAGACAGCCAGGAUGUUGGCUUAGAAGCAGCCAUCAUUUAAAGAAAGCGUAAUAGCUCACUGGUCGAGUCGGCCUGCGCGGAAGAUGUAACGGGGCUAAACCAUGCACCGAAGCUGCGGCAGCGAACGUAUCACUUAAAGCGAUUCAGCGGGUUACGAUUGACGGAGCGAAGCGACGUCAAAGCGUAUACAAAGUCGAGUCGGUUUAAGGAUACGUUCGUUGGGUAGGGGAGCGUUCUGUAAGCCUGUGAAGGUGGCCUGUGAGGGUUGCUGGAGGUAUCAGAAGUGCGAAUGCUGACAUAAGUAACGAUAAAGCGGGUGAAAAGCCCGCUCGCCGGAAGACCAAGGGUUCCUGUCCAACGUUAAUCGGGGCAGGGUGAGUCGACCCCUAAGGCGAGGCCGAAAGGCGUAGUCGAUGGGAAACGGGUUAAUAUUCCCGUACUUGGUGUUACUGCGAAGGGGGGACGGAGAAGGCUAUGUUGGCCGGGCGACGGUUGUCCCGGUUUAAGCGUGUAGGUGUGUGUUCCAGGUAAAUCCGGUUCACUUUAACACUGAGGCGUGAUGACGAGGCACUACGGUGCUGAAGCAACAAAUGCCCUGCUUCCAGGAAAAGCCUCUAAGCAUCAGGUAACAUCAAAUCGUACCCCAAACCGACACAGGUGGUCAGGUAGAGAAUACCAAGGCGCUUGAGAGAACUCGGGUGAAGGAACUAGGCAAAAUGGUGCCGUAACUUCGGGAGAAGGCACGCUGACACGUAGGUGAAGUGAUUUACUCACGGAGCUGAAGUCAGUCGAAGAUACCAGCUGGCUGCAACUGUUUAUUAAAAACACAGCACUGUGCAAACACGAAAGUGGACGUAUACGGUGUGACGCCUGCCCGGUGCCGGAAGGUUAAUUGAUGGGGUCAGCGCAAGCGAAGCUCCUGAUCGAAGCCCCGGUAAACGGCGGCCGUAACUAUAACGGUCCUAAGGUAGCGAAAUUCCUUGUCGGGUAAGUUCCGACCUGCACGAAUGGCGUAAUGAUGGCCAGGCUGUCUCCACCCGAGACUCAGUGAAAUUGAACUCGCUGUGAAGAUGCAGUGUACCCGCGGCAAGACGGAAAGACCCCGUGAACCUUUACUAUAGCUUGACACUGAACAUUGAGCCUUGAUGUGUAGGAUAGGUGGGAGGCUUUGAAGCGUGGACGCCAGUCUGCGUGGAGCCGACCUUGAAAUACCACCCUUUAAUGUUUGAUGUUCUAACGUGGACCCGUUACCCGGGUUGCGGACAGUGUCUGGUGGGUAGUUUGACUGGGGCGGUCUCCUCCUAAAGAGUAACGGAGGAGCACGAAGGUUGGCUAAUCCUGGUCGGACAUCAGGAGGUUAGUGCAAUGGCAUAAGCCAGCUUGACUGCGAGCGUGACGGCGCGAGCAGGUGCGAAAGCAGGUCAUAGUGAUCCGGUGGUUCUGAAUGGAAGGGCCAUCGCUCAACGGAUAAAAGGUACUCCGGGGAUAACAGGCUGAUACCGCCCAAGAGUUCAUAUCGACGGCGGUGUUUGGCACCUCGAUGUCGGCUCAUCACAUCCUGGGGCUGAAGUAGGUCCCAAGGGUAUGGCUGUUCGCCAUUUAAAGUGGUACGCGAGCUGGGUUUAGAACGUCGUGAGACAGUUCGGUCCCUAUCUGCCGUGGGCGCUGGAGAACUGAGGGGGGCUGCUCCUAGUACGAGAGGACCGGAGUGGACGCAUCACUGGUGUUCGGGUUGUCAUGCCAAUGGCACUGCCCGGUAGCUAAAUGCGGAAGAGAUAAGUGCUGAAAGCAUCUAAGCACGAAACUUGCCCCGAGAUGAGUUCUCCCUGAGACUUAAAGUCUCCUGAAGGAACGUUGAAGACGACGACGUUGAUAGGCCGGGUGUGUAAGCGCAGCGAUGCGUUGAGCUAACCGGUACUAAUGAACCGUGAGGCUUAACCUU
RNAcentral lists this ribosomal RNA (3089 nucleotides) under Salmonella enterica subsp. enterica. Its description in RNAcentral is "23S ribosomal RNA". It matches the Rfam family "Bacterial large subunit ribosomal RNA". Lineage: Bacteria; Pseudomonadati; Pseudomonadota; Gammaproteobacteria; Enterobacterales; Enterobacteriaceae. The record is from RNAcentral.